RNAcentral lists this ribosomal RNA (392 nucleotides) under uncultured bacterium. RNAcentral's name for it is "partial 16S ribosomal RNA". It matches the Rfam family "Bacterial small subunit ribosomal RNA", at positions 523 to 918 of the family's 1533-position model. The record is from RNAcentral.
AUACGGAGGAUCCGAGCGUUAUCCGGAUUUAUUGGGUUUAAAGGGUGCGCAGACGGCCAUUUAAGUCAGCGGUUAAAUCGUGGGGCUCAACCCCAUUCUGCCGUUGAUACUGGGUGGCUUGAUUGCGGUCGAGGUUGGCGGAAUUCGUUGUGUAGCGGUGAAAUGCAUAGAUAUGACGAAGAACACCGAUUGCGUAGGCAGCUGACCAGACCGCAAAUGACGCUCAUGCACGAAAGUGCGGGGAUCGAACAGGAUUAGAUACCCUGGUAGUCCGCACAGUAAACGAUGAAUACUUGUUUUCGGCGAUAUAAUGUCGGAGGCAAAGCGAAAGCGAUAAGUAUUCCACCUGGGGAGUACGCCGGCAACGGUGAAACUCAAAGGAAUUGACGGGG